AGUCAUCAUGGCCUUUAUGCCUAGGGCCACACACCGUGCAACAAUGGCCGGUACAGACGGAGGCAAUGCCGAGAGGCGGAGCAAACCCGAGAAAACCGGUCCCAGUUCGGAUUGAGGUCUGCAACUCGACCUCAUGAAGUCGGAAUCGCUAGUAAUCGCAUAUCAGAACGAUGCGGUGAAUACGUUCCCGGGCCUUGUACACACCGCCCGUCACACCACGAAAGUUUGUUGUACCCGAAGUCGGUGCCUUAACCUCGCAAGAGGAGAGAGCCGCCCAAGGUAUGGCCGAUGAUUGGGGUGAAGUCGUAACAAGGUAGCCGUAGGGGAACCUGCGGCUGGAUCACCUCCUUUCUAGGAGAGAAGGGUCCUGGAUGAAGCGCUCCUAUUUAGUCUUGUGAAGGAUCCGAGUGGAAG
RNAcentral lists this ribosomal RNA (414 nucleotides) under uncultured bacterium. RNAcentral's name for it is "bacterial SSU rRNA". The stretch from base 1 to 351 matches the Rfam family "Bacterial small subunit ribosomal RNA", at positions 1188 to 1533 of the family's 1533-position model. The record is from RNAcentral.